CUGAACAACAAGUUAACUGCUGUUCCCAGUUAUAUCUGGUCUUUCCCACCCCCAAACAUACACAAAAGAUUUUUGUCAUUCUUGGCACUGGACAACAGAAGUGAUAAGACAUGCCAGCAGAACUCUAAAGGCAGAAUGUCCUUCCACCUGUUUUAUGCUGUAAGACAAACUUCCAAGUGCGAGGCAGUGUGGAGGGCUGUUUCCUUGAAUGGCAGCUGAAUGCACCAGCGGGAUCCUUGGCAGCAAUGCCCAGGCACUGAAGCUGGGCAUUCAGGAGAGCUAAAUGGAGAAAAGAAACUUGAGCAAACUGCUUCCUGGAACACUGAGAACCUGAAUGGGAAAUUAAGAAGAACCAGAUUAUUUCUAUUCUUCCACCAGCCAAGGUCAGAUUCCCAAACUCCUAUUGAUUCUAAUCUUUCCAAAACAGUGCUGUGGCAAUGUAUGAAAGUAAUAAAAAUAAUCCUUUUUCUGUUAAAAAAAAUUGCUGUUACUUGCUGUUUUGUUAUGCUUUUGCUCGAGAACUUUCCCCCCCAUCUUAAAGCAGCAACUUCAGAAUGGGGGAAUCAAGCAAAACCAUGGUGAAGAGAUUCAUUUAACUAGGACAAGUGACUUAUUCUACAUCUCAGGAGACAGUUCCUUAAGGUGAUGAGCACAAAAGGAUCCAUCUUAUACAGUGCUUGCCAGCUUCCAUAAUACUACUCACCACGAUGUUGAAAUCACCUGUUCCAGAACCAAUCCUGUCCUUUGACAAGAAGGAUUUAAUUAUCAGUAGUGGUGGGGACUGGCUGGAGAGAGGAAAAACACUUCAAGGACUCUGCCACCAUUCCUAGAUGGAGAGUGAAAAGUUUUUACCAUGGAACUCUCUAACAGUUACUCUAUGGCAGUGCCUAUUUCAAACCUCCCUUAACUUCUGAUUGUAUAGAUGUUUGUUUCAUUUGUUCAUCUGUUUGUUCACUUAGAGAUGUUUUAAGCCUUAAGAGAGAUAGUGGACAAGACAAUGCCUUGGAAAAGUACAAAGCUCAAUCCAAGUAAACUGUUUUUAAACUAGGAACUUAUGAAGCCUAAAAUAUAAAAUGUAUGUACAUGGAUAUGCUCUGAAGUGAGGUGGAGGGGUAGAAAUCGACAUGGCGAUAUUGUACUACAGCUUUGCAAGAUGUUACCAUUGGGGGAAAAUGCUUGAAGGGUACACGGGAUAUCUCUGCCUUAUUUCUUACAACUGCAUGUGAAUCUACAGUUAUCUCAAAAUAAAAAUUUAUUUAACAAUUAAUUACAAUUAGUUAACAAUUGUUAAUUGUCAAUUAA
Molecule: long non-coding RNA, 1302 nt
Filed under: Pongo abelii (Sumatran orangutan)
Lineage: Eukaryota; Metazoa; Chordata; Mammalia; Primates; Hominidae
Description: lincRNA
Source: RNAcentral